UUCCUUCCAUUCUCUCCAACUCAUAUUUCCAGCUAUAGCUUCUGUUCUUCCUCGUCUUAUUAGUAUAGCAAAGUUUGAGACUUGAAGCAUAUGGCUUUCCCCUUUAUCUGUGUUUUACUUGCCAUGUUUCUUCCUCUUGAAUCAGUCUCUGCCGAGUCAUUAGGCAACAUAUUCGCUCCUGUUUUUUCUCCAAUCAUGGAUGAUGUCUGCAAAGACAUAGAAUGUGGUAAAGGGACUUGCAAGCCUUCAAGCAGUAGCACUUUCUUUUUCGAAUGUCAAUGUGAUUCUGGGUGGAAGCAGACUACUGAGAACAGCACUGAUCACUUUAAGUUUCUACCUUGUGUGAUUCCCAAUUGUAAUCUGGAUUAUUCCUGUGAAAAAGCACCAGCCCCAGUUCCAGAUAAAUCAAACAAGGCGAACACAUCAAUCUUUGAUCAUAUUGACUCUUAUACUCGGAGUGUUUUUUCUCCUUUUCCUACAUAAGCUUAUUUAUUAUAUAUUAUUGGUUGUAUAGCUUGCUAUUGGAUGGAUUGUGGAGGUGGAACUUGCAACAAGACAUCAAAAUUGUCAUACAAUUGUGAAUGUGGAGAAGGUUAUUAUAAUCUGCUCAAUAUGACUACCCUCCCUUGCCUUAAAGAAUGUUCAAUUGGAGUCGAUUGUGCAAACCUUGGGAUUUCGGUGUCUAAUAAAUCUACUAGUCCUCCAACACCUGCAUUGGCUGAUAGUGGUCGCUUGAUAACACAUGUAAACUCAAUUACAUUGGUGACCCUAACAAUGUUGGUUCUUAUGCUUCAUGGGAUAUGGAACUAGUCAGGUUAGUUAGCUAAGUAACCACACAUGUUUAGUGAGGUGUUCAUCUCAAUUUCUCUUCAUUCAUAUAGAUAGGUUGAGGAGUUGGAUUUUGUUUUUUUAUAUAACUAAGACCUACUGCCUAGUCGAAGAUAUAGCUUCAUUUCGAGCUUGGAUUUUGUACUUCUUUUCAAGAUGUAGGUUCAUUGGC
Molecule: RNA transcript, 1000 nt
Organism: Fragaria vesca subsp. vesca
Lineage: Eukaryota; Viridiplantae; Streptophyta; Magnoliopsida; Rosales; Rosaceae
Exons: 5
Source: RefSeq, a predicted model, not a curated record